RNAcentral lists this ribosomal RNA (465 nucleotides) under uncultured Klebsiella sp. Its description in RNAcentral is "bacterial SSU rRNA". It matches the Rfam family "Bacterial small subunit ribosomal RNA", at positions 338 to 795 of the family's 1533-position model. Lineage: Bacteria; Pseudomonadati; Pseudomonadota; Gammaproteobacteria; Enterobacterales; Enterobacteriaceae. The record is from RNAcentral.
CCUACGGGGGGCAGCAGCGGGGAAUAUUGCACAAUGGGCGCAAGCCUGAUGCAGCCAUGCCGCGUGUGUGAAGAAGGCCUUCGGGUUGUAAAGCACUUUCAGCGGGGAGGAAGGCGUUAAGGUUAAUAACCUUGGCGAUUGACGUUACCCGCAGAAGAAGCACCGGCUAACUCCGUGCCAGCAGCCGCGGUAAUACGGAGGGUGCAAGCGUUAAUCGGAAUUACUGGGCGUAAAGCGCACGCAGGCGGUCUGUCAAGUCGGAUGUGAAAUCCCCGGGCUCAACCUGGGAACUGCAUUCGAAACUGGCAGGCUAGAGUCUUGUAGAGGGGGGUAGAAUUCCAGGUGUAGCGGUGAAAUGCGUAGAGAUCUGGAGGAAUACCGGUGGCGAAGGCGGCCCCCUGGACAAAGACUGACGCUCAGGUGCGAAAGCGUGGGGAGCAAACAGGAUUAGAUACCCCAGUAGUC